GAUGAACGCUGGCGGCGUGCUUAACACAUGCAAGUCGAACGAGAAGUGAAGACGGAAACCUUCGGGCGGAAGGCUUUAUUUCGAGUGGCGGACGGGUGAGUAACGCGUGGGUAACCUGCCUCAUACAGGGGGAUAACAGUUGGAAACGACUGUUAAUACCGCAUAAGACCACAGCACCGCAUGGUGCGGGGGUAAAAACUCCGGUGGUAUGAGAUGGACCCGCGUUCGAUUAGCCAGUUGGCGGGGUAACGGCCCACCAAAGCGACGAUCGAUAGCCGAUCUGAGAGGAUGACCGGCUACAUUGGGACUGAGACACGGCCCAAACUCCUACGGGAGGCAGCAGUGGGGAAUAUUGCACAAUGGGGGAAACCCUGAUGCAGCGACGCCGCGUGAGUGAAGAAGUAUUUCGGUAUGUAAAGCUCUAUCAGCAGGGAAGAAAAUGACGGUACCGGAGUAAGAAGCCCCGGCGAACUACGU
Molecule: ribosomal RNA, 477 nt
Filed under: uncultured bacterium
Lineage: Bacteria
Description: partial 16S ribosomal RNA
Rfam family: Bacterial small subunit ribosomal RNA
Source: RNAcentral